GGCAGACGGGUGAGUAACGCGUGGGAACGUACCCUUUGGUUCGGAAUAACCCAGGAAACUUGGGCUAAUACCGGAUGCGCCGGAAACGGGAAAGGUUUACCGCCGAAGGAUCGGCCCGCGUCUGAUUAGCUAGUUGGUAGGGUAAUGGCCUACCAAGGCGACGAUCAGUAGCUGGUCUGAGAGGAUGAUCAGCCACACUGGGACUGAGACACGGCCCAGACUCCUACGGGAGGCAGCAGUGGGGAAUAUUGGACAAUGGGCGCAAGCCUGAUCCAGCCAUGCCGCGUGAGUGAUGAAGGCCCUAGGGUUGUAAAGCUCUUUUGUCCGGGAAGAUAAUGACUGUACCGGAAGAAUAAGCCCCGGCUAACUUCGUGCCAGCCGCCGCGG
Molecule: ribosomal RNA, 387 nt
Filed under: uncultured bacterium
Lineage: Bacteria
Description: bacterial SSU rRNA
Rfam family: Bacterial small subunit ribosomal RNA
Source: RNAcentral